UACAUAGGUCCCGAGCGUUGUCCGGAUUUAUUGGGCGUAAAGCGAGCGCAGGUGGUUUAUUAAGUCUGGUGUAAAAGGCAGUGGCUCAACCAUUGUAUGCAUUGGAAACUGGUAGACUUGAGUGCAGGAGAGGAGAGUGGAAUUCCAUGUGUAGCGGUGAAAUGCGUAGAUAUAUGGAGGAACACCGGUGGCGAAAGCGGCUCUCUGGCCUGUAACUGACACUGAGGCUUGAAAGCGUGGGGAGCAAACAGG
Molecule: ribosomal RNA, 252 nt
Filed under: uncultured bacterium
Lineage: Bacteria
Description: partial 16S ribosomal RNA
Rfam family: Bacterial small subunit ribosomal RNA
Source: RNAcentral